Molecule: non-coding RNA, 3538 nt
Organism: Anas platyrhynchos (mallard)
Lineage: Eukaryota; Metazoa; Chordata; Aves; Anseriformes; Anatidae
Source: RefSeq, a predicted model, not a curated record
GUGUGCAUUUUACACAGACUGAAUACAGAAGAGAAGAAAGAUGAGUCUGCAUCAUUCCAACUCUGAUAAAGUGCACGGCCUUCUGAAUUCCUGUCCUCGCUCGUGGAGCCACUUAUUGGAUACUGCAAAGACAUAAAGUCCAAAGGAAAAGCAAGCCAGAGCAACCCCCAACCAAACCCCAGAGCUCCAGAUCGCAAGAAGCGAGAACAAGGUAAGGGACACUCACCCCAUUUGUUUCCAACUAGUACUGGGCAGGCCGCAUGCCGUGUGCUGUAAUCUCCUUCUCCACUUGGGAAGAGAUUGUACCAGAAUACAGCUGUUCCCUGGAAAUUGCAGUGGAAACCCUCAGCGUUUUGCUCUACUUGAUACCAACUUAACGCUAAAGUAAAGGUACGUUCAGAUUUCAAAUACUGCUUUUAAAUUGAAGGUUGUUUUGCACAUUCAAACGCUUGCUUUCCUAUGGAAUGAGUCUCCGUUGACUCACUCUGUGUGUAGGUCCUUGUCUGUUAAUUAUUUUUUUUUAGACCCUAACCCAACUUCAUUCAACUGCAAGCAGUUUUAAAAAAUCGAGGCAAUAUCUAACUAUAAAUGAGCAGCAGCCUCAUUAGCAAAGACCAACUUUAUUCGUGAGCCUUCUGAAGGAAAAGCCAUAGUGGGAACACAGCAUUUCAGGGAGAAUUCCCUGUGAAUGCCCCAAGACUAAUCUACUUACACACCAGUAUAUUUUUUAAAAUUGUUUUGAAGUAUUGUUUUCCUCAAGUGCUUUGCAAAGUCUGUGCAUUAGCAGCAGUUAAGCCCAAAACAUUAACUAUGAGCUAACAUGCAAUAGAUCAGAGGGCCCUGGAAUCACCAGUACUGCUCCAGUAGCUGCACUUGUAAGUACCCCAUGAUUAGCGCUCUAAUCUCUUUUAUAUAAGUCAGUUUAAAGCUUCCUUUUAAAAGUUUGAGUAUACAUCCACUGUAUUAUUGCACAGGUGAGAGGGGAGUGGUUACACUGGAUAAUAAUGGGUAAUAAACCCUUCUUACCUUUUUAGGCCAAACACUGGCUCCUACUUCAGGAAAGACAGUAGCUCCCCCUGCUGACACAUCACUCAUCUGGAAAGGUAGGAACAGGCACAGGUAAGCUGCAAACCACUGCAUUCCCCAAGUGUCCCAUUUUAGUAAAAUAAAAUUAGAUUAUUGAACAACUUAAUUUCUGCCUCCCACAGCAUGAUUAACAGCAUCAUGCUGUUAAUGCCUGAUUAACAGCAUUAAACAGGGCUACCCCCCACACUUGGUUCAAGGUGCAAUAACCACCAGCCUUUUCCCCAAAUGUUACAUGCUCAAAUAUUCUGACAAGGAGCACGCUAUAAAUACUGAUGCAGAUAUGAAAAUGACAGCCCAAUAUUUUAAGCUACUACUGCCCCUUUGAGUGAAAAAACCCUCCUUAAGCACACGUGUAAAAACCAUGACUUAUGGGUAAGAAGAUACCCGUAUGUGUUACCAAUAAGGUACUGGCUGCCUUCAUUUGCAAGUCACUUGAGUAAAAAAAAAAAAAAAAAAAAAAAAAAAAAGUAAUGAAAUCAUUCCACUGUACAGAAUACGCAGCAAUAGAUAUUUUUGGCAAUAGCACAUGACAGAAAUAUAUCACUUACAUAAAACAACCAAGUAGCAAUUCUGUUGCCUGUUCCCAAUUCCUUAAAAGCAUCUGGCUCAUCUUUCUGUGAAUAAAAGCAAGCAUGUUUAAUAAGCACUUCAUUUUGAUUAUCGAGAGGAACCAAUGACAGACAGCUGCAGAGCCAGCAGCAGACAAACUCAUGCAGAAAAAUUAAUUAAAUCCCUGUAUUUGCAGCAAUGGAGGGGGGGAAUAGAAGAUGAGUGUACCUAUUAAUUUAGAUAAACAAGGCAUUUUAAAAUUCUACAGCACAGGGAACUCAAGUCCUAAGCCAAAGUUGGUAAUAGGUAAGAACUGUACUGCCAGAGUAUAUAAAUCUUCACAGCCACAAAGUUAAUUAUUUAAUUACAGUGACUGCUGCCUCUUGUCCUUGGCAGAGAGGAACAGCAGCGAGGGCAGCUCCUGGGUCCCAGGUCCAGCAGCAGCAGCUCCGCACACCCUGAGGGCUGCUGCCCUUGCCCCGGCCCUUUCCCAGGAGCUGCCCCUGCUAGCCGCUGUGGCCAGCAGGCUGCUGCGCACACCCUGGUUUGCAGUUUUCAGUGCCCUCAAAAACCUAACAAGUGAUUCAUUAAGCAGUGCGCUCACCUAGCCACAGUGUCUGUGACAGCCGUUCCUGCCGCUUUGCACCGGAGUAAGGUAUGUGUGCACCUAAACGCACGGGAACAGGCACUGUGGCUGUGAGGCCGCCCACCCAGCACCGUGCUCAGGGGGCAUCACUUGAAUAAAACACCAGAACCCCCACAGGAGGGUUAUGAGACCAGCUUUUGUCACACCUCUGUUUCUUACUUCCAGAGCCCACCUCGUGUGACCACACUUGCGUGUGCUGACAUCUCAGCAAUGGGGCAUUAUUUCAGAAACUGACCCAUGCACUGCCAAACAGCAACUGCUAAUCACUCGUGAUGCCUUUGAGCAUGUGCUUACAGAGCAGAGAUUCUGAUUAAUAGUUGGUGGCUUGGAUUCACAGCGCAAGGUUAAUCUCAAAAGUGUUAAAUCACGAGUAAGUAUGCCCAAUAAAUAACCAACUGAAUUCAGUGCCAUUAUUUCCAGCAGUUUGAGAUUUAAGCUGGAAGAAAAAUAGGUUGGGAAUUUAAGUCAAAUAAAAUGAGGAUUGUACAAUGAGAAGAACUGCAUAAAACCCCUCGCCCUUGCAGGUCUGCAUGGUAAGCUGCGAUGCAAGUUUUCUUACACUGCCUCCAAAACCUUCCUCAUAGGAAGGAGCAUUGAGCUGCUGCCCCUGCAGCCACGUUUGCCUUACUCAGUAACGCCAGCCCUGCAGCCACGGGCACGGCAGCUUCAGUGCAUCGCUGCGUGUUAGCUGCUGUUAGUGCAUCUUGUGCGUGUCAGGAGCAUGGGAUAUACACCACGCACUUACACAGUUUGACUGUAUAGCCUGCAGUGGUUUGAAACAACUGGGCUUUCCACUGCCAGCUAACAGUUCUAAACGUUACUCCAGUUUUAGAAUCCAACAAAUGCCCUUUGCUCCGGUAACAACAGCUCUUUUUAAAUUUCAUUCUGCAGAAAACCUUGUUGCUCCAUAACACCUGUAAUGUUUCUCAGUUCAGCUGGUGGUUUAGAGGGCUUCUCCACUAACAUGGAUUAGAGAAGUUGAAGAGCUAUAAAAUUUAAUACACAUUAAAGAUUAAAUAUUGUGCCACAGCCAAUAGGCCCAGGCUUCGCCAGGUGACUAUCUCUCCUCCAUCUCUUUACUUGCCCGUGCAAAGUCAAAGUGGGGUUCAUACUGUCCUCCCACUCCAUAAUUUGCCACCUGAAAAAGAGAAACACAGUGCUUAUGAAGAAGAAAGAGGUGGAGACUUUAAACAGGACUUACCCUUCCGAAAUCAAAAUGAGGCUCAUACUGGCCUCCUACUCCGUAGUUGGCUACCU